GGGGUUAUGGCUCAAUGGUAGAGUGCCUACCUUGCAAGUGUGGGGCCCUGGGUUCGAUCCUCAGCACCA
RNAcentral lists this transfer RNA (69 nucleotides) under Ictidomys tridecemlineatus (thirteen-lined ground squirrel). RNAcentral describes it as "Spermophilus tridecemlineatus (thirteen-lined ground squirrel) tRNA". It matches the Rfam family "tRNA". From Rfam's summary of the family: Transfer RNA (tRNA) molecules are approximately 80 nucleotides in length. Their secondary structure includes four short double-helical elements and three loops (D, anti-codon, and T loops). The record is from Rfam by way of RNAcentral. Lineage: Eukaryota; Metazoa; Chordata; Mammalia; Rodentia; Sciuridae.